UUUCUCCCCCCUGGUUUUUUCUUCGGCUAUCUCAAUGAGCGGAGGAAAAGAAAGCGAACAGGAGCAUUGCCUCAGUAACGGCGAGUGAAGCGGCAACAGCUCAGAUUUGAAAUCCGGUCUUGUUGCCGGGCCUGAUUUGUCAUUCUGUAGAGGAUGUCGCUGGCCACGAGUAUCUCCGAUGUCCCCUGGAAGGAGGCACCGGAGAGGGUGAGAGUCCCGUGCGGGGAUUGCUCGAUGGUCAAUGUGCGACUCCUUCGUCGUGUCGAGUAUUUUGGGAAUGCUGCUCUUGAUGGGAGGUAAAUUCCUUCUAAUGCUAAAUAUCGGCCGGAGACCGAUAGCGCACAAGUAGAGUGAUCGAAAGAUGAAAAGCACUUUGAAAAGAGGGUUAAAUAGUACUUGAAAUUGUUGAAAGGGAAGCGCCCGCGACCAGACUUGUGUACGGCCAAUCGCCCCACGCUCUGCCGUGGGGUCUCUUGGCAGUGGUUACAGGCCAGCAUCGAUUCUGGAUUUCCGGGGGAGAAGCGCAUUGGGAAUGUAGCUCCUUUCGGGGAGUGUUAUAGCCCGCUGCUUGACACCCCGGCUGGGAUGGAGGCCCGCGUUAUUUACGAGGAUGCUGGGGUAAUGGUCGUUGGCGACCCGUCUUGAAACACGGACCACGGAGUCGAGGUUUCCCGCGAGUGUGUGGGUGUUAAACCCGUGCGCGGAAUGAAAGUGAACGUAUGUGAGAGCUUUUGCGAGUGCAUCACCUCGACCGAUCCCUAUGUUGUCUUACGGAGGGUAUCGAGUAUGAGCGGGGAGCCUCGGACCCGAAAGAUGGUGAAGUAUGCCUGCAUAGGGUGAAGCCUGAGGAGACUCUGGUGGAGGUUCGCAGCGUUUCUGACGUGCAAAUCGAUCGUCAAAUGUGGGCAUGGGAGGCCGGAAAGGAUACCUAAUCUAGUCAUCUUGUCACCUUGUUACCGCGCCAAAUUAUCUCCCCGAGAAGAAGAAGAA
This 990-nucleotide ribosomal RNA is filed under the name Meliola sp. SSD-2020a. Its description in RNAcentral is "partial large subunit ribosomal RNA". It matches the Rfam family "Eukaryotic large subunit ribosomal RNA", at positions 24 to 989 of the family's 3401-position model. The record is from RNAcentral. Lineage: Eukaryota; Fungi; Ascomycota; Sordariomycetes; Meliolales; Meliolaceae.